Non-coding RNA from Phrynosoma platyrhinos (Desert horned lizard), 72 nucleotides. Lineage: Eukaryota; Metazoa; Chordata; Lepidosauria; Squamata; Phrynosomatidae. The record is from the annotation of a GenBank genome assembly.
GUAUGCAUGGCAUAGUGGUUUGGGUGUUGGACUAUGACUCUGGAGACCAUGGUUCAAUUCCCUACUUGGCCA